RNAcentral lists this ribosomal RNA (483 nucleotides) under uncultured bacterium. Its description in RNAcentral is "bacterial SSU rRNA". It matches the Rfam family "Bacterial small subunit ribosomal RNA", at positions 30 to 512 of the family's 1533-position model. The record is from RNAcentral.
AUUGAACGCUGGCGGCAUGCCUUACACAUGCAAGUCGAACGGUAACAGGUCUUCGGAUGCUGACGAGUGGCGAACGGGUGAGUAAUAUAUCGGAACGUGCCCAGUCGUGGGGGAUAACGCAGCGAAAGCUGUGCUAAUACCGCAUACGAUCUAUGGAUGAAAGCGGGGGAUCGCAAGACCUCGCGCGAUUGGAGCGGCCGAUAUCAGAUUAGGUAGUUGGUGGGGUAAAGGCCCACCAAGCCAACGAUCUGUAGCUGGUCUGAGAGGACGACCAGCCACACUGGAACUGAGACACGGUCCAGACUCCUACGGGAGGCAGCAGUGGGGAAUUUUGGACAAUGGGCGCAAGCCUGAUCCAGCAAUGCCGCGUGGAGGACGAAGCCCUUCGGGGUGUAAACUCCUUUUCUCAGGGAGAGAAACUUACGCACGUGUUGCGUGACUGACGGUACCCUGGGAAUAAGCAUCGGCUAACUCCGUGCCAGC